RNAcentral lists this long non-coding RNA (459 nucleotides) under Meriones unguiculatus (Mongolian gerbil). RNAcentral describes it as "lncRNA (ENSMUGG00000015937.1)". The record is from RNAcentral. Lineage: Eukaryota; Metazoa; Chordata; Mammalia; Rodentia; Muridae.
AUUAUAGCAACAAAAUGGUCAGAUUGCAAGGUCAAGAGUAGGGGAAGCCUCUGCCCUGGAAAAUUCAGGGUAGAGGGUUGUCAAAAGAGAGAGUUGUCAGCCAUGCAAGGCAGCAGGUAGGGACUGGGGAACGCUGGAAGAACCUGGAGCCGCUUGUCCUGGUCCUGAAGCACACCCAGAAGCAGGUUGUGUUCCAAAAUACUAACAGGUGUUUCAAAUGUGCUAAAGACUUGACCUAUAUCGAAGUCUGGGUUUGGAAUGCUUCCUGAUGGCGCACUUUCAAGGCUUGGAACUAAUGGGAUCUGGUGGCAACUCAGAGGUGUGUGUCUGCAAGAGCUUUUCAGUCUCUUCGGUAUGCCCUUUAAGCUAUUUGCCUUCUUAAAAGAAAAAAAAAAUGGCAACCCAGCAAAGUACAGAUCAGCAUGUUUCCUGAAAUUAGGAUUUUGGUGGACAUUUUGA